Molecule: ribosomal RNA, 92 nt
Filed under: Escherichia coli
Lineage: Bacteria; Pseudomonadati; Pseudomonadota; Gammaproteobacteria; Enterobacterales; Enterobacteriaceae
Also listed under: 5 other names
Source: RNAcentral
CCUGGCGGCCGUAGCGCGGUGGUCCCACCUGACCCCAUGCCGAACUCAGAAGUGAAACGCCGUAGCGCCGAUGGUAGUGUGGGGUCUCCCCA